AUACGGAGGGGGCUAGCGUUGUCCGGAUUUAUUGGGUUUAAAGGGUGCGUAGGUGGCGUGUUAAGUCAGUGGUGAAAGCCUGCAGCUCAACUGUAGAGGUGCCAUUGAUACUGACAUGCUUGAGUAUAGAUGAGGUAGGCGGAAUUUGUGGUGUAGCGGUGAAAUGCAUAGAUACCACAAAGAACACCGAUAGCGAAGGCAGCUUACUGGACCAUAACUGACACUGAGGCACGAAAGUGUGGGUAGCGAACAGGAUUAGAAACCCUAGUAGUCC
RNAcentral lists this ribosomal RNA (274 nucleotides) under uncultured bacterium. RNAcentral describes it as "partial 16S ribosomal RNA". It matches the Rfam family "Bacterial small subunit ribosomal RNA", at positions 523 to 796 of the family's 1533-position model. The record is from RNAcentral.